UACGGAGGAUUCAAGCGUUAUCCGGAUUUAUUGGGUUUAAAGGGUGCGUAGGUUGUUUUUUAAGUCAGCGGUAAAAUUGCGGGGCUCAACCCCGUCGAGCCGUUGAAACUGGCAGACUUGAGUGGGCGAGAAGUAUGCGGAAUGCGUGGUGUAGCGGUGAAAUGCAUAGAUAUCACGCAGAACUCCGAUUGCGAAGGCAGCAUACCGGCGCCCUACUGACGCUGAGGCACGAAAGCGUGGGUAUCGAACAGG
Molecule: ribosomal RNA, 252 nt
Filed under: uncultured Bacteroidales bacterium
Lineage: Bacteria; Pseudomonadati; Bacteroidota; Bacteroidia; Bacteroidales
Description: partial 16S ribosomal RNA
Rfam family: Bacterial small subunit ribosomal RNA
Source: RNAcentral